UACGUAGGGUGCGAGCGUUGUCCGGAAUUAUUGGGCGUAAAGGGCUCGUAGGCGGUCUGUUGCGUCGGGAGUGAAAACUCAGGGCUUAACCCUGAGCCUGCUUCCGAUACGGGCAGACUAGAGGUAUGCAGGGGAGAACGGAAUUCCUGGUGUAGCGGUGAAAUUCGCAGAUAUCAGGAGGAACACCGGUGGCGAAGGCGGUUCUCUGGGCAUUACCUGACGCUGCAGCGCGAAAGCUAGGGGAGCAAACGGG
RNAcentral lists this ribosomal RNA (253 nucleotides) under uncultured bacterium. RNAcentral describes it as "partial 16S ribosomal RNA". It matches the Rfam family "Bacterial small subunit ribosomal RNA", at positions 524 to 776 of the family's 1533-position model. The record is from RNAcentral.